AGUAUCACAAAAUAGUAUAUCUACAAUCACAAAAAGUUAGGACAAUUGGUAUGUGACGAAGAUAGAAUAGACGAAGAGAGACUUAUAACAGAAUUGAAGACGAACCUACUGCAGAGCACGGAGGACGACGAGAUUGGAGAAGAGACCGGCGCAGGAACGACUGAUGCAGAGACGGCCAGCCAUCGUCGAUCUGUUCGGAAUCGGAUCCCGCCUGCCCGAUUCAAAGACUACACCCGACCCUAAUAAAUCUCUUAAAGGGUGGUUUAGUUUAGAAUAAAGUAUGACCAUAUCACAACUUAUCUUUAUUAUUUCUUAAGUAUAAAUUGGUACAAUUGUGGAAUGUUUAUUUUUAUCAAACUUUUCAAUUAAAAAUUGCUUACGCAAUUAAAACGGGUUGAAGAAACCUAGGGUUUUGUGGCUACUGUUUCAUUGCCUCCGUCUCCUCCCAUUCUCUACGUAUUAUUGGUGCUUUCAACGAUCUCCUUUCGGCGUGCAUUGCUCUAAUUAAGGUCACCUGGAUCAGCAUCAAGGAUUUGUACUCCUUCAAAAAAAAAAUCAAACUCUUAUCAAAAGCAUGUUCUGUGCUUAAUAGAUCCUUACCAGGGACGUAUCUAAUCUCAACUACAACUUAUUAUUCUAUUACUAAGUUGUUGCAAAUCGCAGAUCUAAACAACAACAAAAAAGACUGAAGAAGGAUCGGUAUUCCUUAAAACUACCAACAAACUUUCUAAAAGCUUGUUUUGUGCUUAACAGAUCCCAAACAGGAACGUAUCUAAUCCAUUAUUAUUGCAUCUAAUCUGUUCUGAAUCGAUUAAAUACAUUUUAGAUCGUGCAAAAGGAAAAAAAAUUAGAGCUGGAUAUUGAAGAAGGACUGGUAUCCCUAUAAUAUACCAAACAACUAUCCAAAGCAUGUUCUGUGCUUGACAGAACCGUAUCAGGGACGUAUCUUACCCCUAAAUCUCAUCAAUUAUCCAUUCAUUAAAGCUCUUUAAUAUUUUUUUCAGUAAUUGAAAUCUGUAAGAAGAAUGAGUGAAUCAAUGGAAACUCAACUAAAAAGAUUACAGAUUAAGCAAGAUGUGGAAAGUGAAAGAAUGAAAAAGAUGGAACAAACUUUGGCUCAAAUGAGUGAGUCACUAUGUCUACUUAGGAAAAUAGGAAGUCAAGAAACUGGACAAAGUUCAAACAAUUCAGACUUCAAAUCCAAAUCUGUGAGAUCUGAAAUGCCUAAGUUCGAUGGAGAUAAUGUGCAAGGAUAGGUCUACAAAGCUAAUAAAUAUUUGAGAUACCACAAUGUUCCAAAUGAAGAGAGGAUCAUAGUAGCUACCUUCAAUAUGGAAGGUGAGGCCUUAGAGUGGUUACUAUGGGCUGAUAGAAAUAAUCAAAUAAAGUCAUGGUAUGACUUUGUAGAGGAUAUCACUAAAAGAUUUGGCACUUCUGCAUAUGAGAUUCCUGCUGGAAGACUUAGCAAAGUGAUGCAAACCACUACUGUCAAGGAGUAUCAACACAUAUUCGAGAGCUUAGCAAAUUAAUAAAGUAACUGAUAUCAAUCCUAAAGUUCUUAAAGAAAUAUUUAUGGCAGGAUUAAAAAAUGAAGUACAAAAGGACGUGAUAAAAGCCAGACCUGAAACACUAGUUGAAGCUUUUGCUCUAGCACAAUUAUAUGAAAGGGAGGAUCUCUCAACUGAUAUAGUCAGAUACUGCCCCCAACAAGCUAUAGUUCCUUACAGUCCUGCAACAACAAAUCAGAAUUUGAGUUCUUAUAUUCCACCUCAUAAGAGACUAAUGGCAUCACCAAUUAUUAGACAGAAAUUAACACCUGCAGAAAUAAGAAUCAAAAGGUCUAAGAAUGAAUGUUUCAACUGUACAGAAAAGUAGGAAAAAGGCACAAAUGCAAAGGAAGACUGUUUCUAUUAUCUGAUGAUGGACAGAAUUUCAGUGAAUAUACUGACCCGAAUGAAGAAGAUGAUAUAUUUCUAGAUACUGUGGAAGAAAUAAGAGCUGAGCCAACACAUAUCAGUUAUCACUCUCUGCAAGGCCAAGCAAGUCCAAGGACCUUGAGGCUAACUGCUGCAAUCAACAAUUGCAAAGUAUCAGUGCUACUGGAUUCUAGAUCCACUCACAAUUUUUUACAAGGGGAUAUUGCUGAAUAUCUAAGGCUUCCUAUCUAUCCUAUUCCAUCAUUCUUAGUAUCCACUGGCAGUGAGAUAGAUUUGAAGUGUGACAAAAUGUGCAAGCAAGUACAGAUAGAUAUACAAGGCACUAAAAUGGUAAUUGAUCUUUUUAUUUUAGAUUUAGUGGGAGCUAAUCUGGUUCUAGGUAUACAAUGGUUUAAGACUGUUGGGUCAGUUCUUUCUUAUUAUGUAAACAUGUCUAUUCAGUUAAACUAGAUGGGAAAGAAAAUAAAUUGGGUGGAAGAAACUAUAUUAUCUGAUGAUAGCUUUUCUACCCAUGAAUUGAAAAACCUAGCAAUGUCUACGGCUAGUGCAUAUUUCUGCAGAUUUGAGUUUGUAGACCAGAAAAAUGACACAAAUCACAAACAGGAGAAGGAUAAAUCAGGUCAAGAUGACAAGUUAAAAUAAAUAUUAGAGAAAUUCAGUGACGUGUUUGAGGAACCAACUAGCCUUCCUCUAGUAAGGUCACAGUUCCAUAAUAUACAUUUGGAACCUUCUGCAGCACUUGUUAAUAUCAGACCAUAUAAACAAGCUCAAUUUCAAAAGGAUGAAAUGCAGAGAAUUGUGCAAGAAAUGCUGAAACAGAAAAUAGUGCAAGAGAGCAUUAGUCCUUAUUCUUCACCAGUGUUGUUGGUGAAAAAGAAAGAGGGCAGUUGGAGACUUUGUAUUGAUUACAAAGCUUUAAAUAAAAUCAUCAUAAGAGAUAGGUUUCCUAUACCUAUUGUGGAUGAAAUCUUAGCCGAACUGAAAGGGUCUGUGGUGUACUCCAAAUUAGAUUUAAGAUCUGGGUGAACAGAAUUUUCACCCCUAUUUUAAGAAAGUUUGUACUGGUCUUCUUUGAUGAUAUUCUAAUAUUCAGCAAUUCAAAAGAAAUACAUCUACAACAUCUGGUAGAGGUAUUAACUAUUUUGAGAGACAAUCAAUUAUAUGCCAAAGAGUCUAAGUGUUUAUUUUGCCAGAAUGAAAUUCAAUUCUUGGGACACAUAAUUUCCGGGGAAGGAUUAAAACCAGAUCCUGAGAAGUUAGUGGCAGUCCAAAAUUGGCCACAACCAACCACAAUUAAAGGUUUAUGAGGAUUUUUAGGACUCUCAGGUUAUUGCAGAAAAUUUGUAAAAAAUUAUGCUAGCAUUGCAGCCCCACUGAUUGAUUUACUCAAAAAGAAUAACUUUAUUUGGAAUGAGGCAGCCACUACUAGUUUAGAGAAAUUAAAAGAGGCACUCAUGGGAGCUCCUGUUUUACACCAUCCAGAUUUUGAAAAAUCGUUUGAUAUUGAAACUGAUGCAUGCCAAGGAGCCUGAAGGAGGAGUAGGGGCUGUUUUGAGUCAGGAAGGUCAUCCCCUAGCCUUCCACAGUUCUAAAAUAUCAGGAAGGAUGCUAUUGGCCUCCACUUAUGCCAAAGAAAUGCAUGCCAUCACCCAAGCUAUUGGAAAAUGGAGGCACUAUCUAUUGGGUCACAAAUUCACCAUCCACACUGAUCAUCAAAGUAUCAAGAAUAUGUUAAUAUAGUUGAUACAAACCCCUAACCAACAGAAAUUCCUAUACAAACUAUUAGGGUUCGAUUACACCAUCAAAUAUAAACCGGGGAAAGAGAAUAGAGCAGUUGAUGCACUGUCAAGAAGAGGUGAGGAUGAAAUCAGAAAUGUCAUUCCUACGGGGUCACUCUUAGGUCUUACUAAAUUGGUGAGCAACUUAGUGACAGAGUUGAAUGAAGAACAGAAACAAAAACAGGAGUUAUGCAGUUUGAAAGAAAGAGUGAGAUAGAGAAUAGAAAAAAAUCCUAAAUGGAAGAUUGAUGGUGAAAUGCUACUAUAUGAUGGGAGAUAUGUUAUAUCUCAAGAAUCUGAAUUAAUUAAGGAUAUUGUCAAGGAGUACCAUGACAGUCCUAUUGGGGGUCAUUCGGGAGUGGAAAGAACUAUUAAAAAAAUCAAAUUAUUAUUCUGGUGGAAGAGAAUGUCCAAAAGAAUAUAAAAAAUAUGUUGAAGAAUGCUUUGUGUCACAGACAAUAAUAAAUCACAAGGAUUGCCAAUGUCUUUGCCAACACCUAAUGCGGUUUGGAAGGACAUCUCUACAGACUUCAUCACAAGCCUGCCCAGGGUUAAAGGUAAAACAGUAAUAAUAGUGGUAGUUGACAGACUUUCAAAAUUCUGUCAUUUGGGAGCAUUGCCGACUGAUUUCACAACAAAGAUGGUGGCAACAUUUUUUGUGGAAAAUAUCAUUAAACUUCAUGGUGUUCCAGCUUCUAUAAUAUCUGACAGGGAUAAGGUAUUCAUAAGUUCCUUAUGGAGGGAAUUGAAUAGACUAAAUGACACUACACUAAAAUUAUCUUCAACUUAUCACCCCGAAACUGAUGGGCAAACCAAGGUGACUAAUAGAGGGAUCGAGAUGUUCCUAAGAUCUUUAGUUCAUGAUCAACCUAAGAGAUGGCUUGAAAUGUUACCAUGGGCAUAAUUAUGGCACAAUUCAACAUUUAAUGUGUCUAUUGGUAUGUCACUAUUCCUAGCACUAUAUGGGAGGGAAGUUGCAUCAUUCACUGAAUUUCACAAUGGUGAAUCCAACAAUUUACUAGUGGAGGAAGAAAUACUAAGAAGACAAGAGAUAAUCGAGACAGUAAAAAUAAAUAUGGAUAAAGCCAAGGAUUACAUGAAAAACAGAGCAGAUAGAAACAGGGUUGACAUUGAAUUUAAUGAGGGUGAUUGGGUAUUCAUCAAGCUAAAACCAUACCGAAAAAUAUCCGUAAUCCACAGGCUACAUCAUAAGUUAUCUUCCCGAUUUUUUGGACCAUACCAAAUCACGAAGAAGAUCAACAAAGUAGACUAUAAGAUACAAUUACCUAUAAACAGUUUAAUUCACAAUACAUUUCAUAUUUCGUUGCUAAGUAAGUAUAAAGGAGAAGUACCACCACCAUCAAAGGAGAACCCACCAGGAGUGGAAGUGGAAAAUCAACCCGUGUUGUACCCGAUCAAAGUCACAGACCGUCAAACUAUCUUGGUGAGUGGAAGAGCUGUUGAUGAAGUGUAGAUCGUCGGGAAAGGGCUUAUUAAAUCAGAAGCUUCCUGGGAAAAAAAAAUCAAAGAUAGCGGAGAUUUACCCCUCUUUCAACCUUGAGGACAAUAAGGUCGAUGUUAUGGAAGUAGGAGAUGAUGAAGAUAGAAUAGACGAAGAGAGACUUAUAACAGAAUUAAAGACGAACCUGCUGUAGAGCACGGAGGACGACGAGACUGGAGAAGAGACCGGCGCAGGAACGACUGAUGCAGAGACGGCCAGCCAUCGUCGAUCUGUUCUGAAUCGGAUCCCGCCUGCCCGAUUCAAAGACUACACCCGACCCUAAUAAAUCUCUUAAAGGGUGAUUUAGUUUAGAGUAAAGUGUGACCAUGUCACAACUUAUCUUUAUUAUUUCUUAAGUAUAAAUUGGUACAAUUGUG
This 5593-nucleotide long non-coding RNA is filed under the name Zostera marina. RNAcentral's name for it is "long non-coding RNA (ZMAR_LNC003236)". Lineage: Eukaryota; Viridiplantae; Streptophyta; Magnoliopsida; Alismatales; Zosteraceae. The record is from RNAcentral.